Non-coding RNA from Lonchura striata (white-rumped munia), 3881 nucleotides. Lineage: Eukaryota; Metazoa; Chordata; Aves; Passeriformes; Estrildidae. The record is from RefSeq and is a predicted model, not a curated record.
GAAUGUUGGAACAGGAUGUUCCCAGCUCCAAAUUCCAGGUGAAUGUUGGAACAGGAUGUUCCCAGCUCCAAAUUCCAGGUGAAUGUUGGAACAGGAUUUCAGCCCAGCUCCAAAUUCCAGGCAGAUGUUGGAGCAGGAUUUCAGCCCAGCUCCAAAUUCCAGGAUGUUCCCAGCUCCAGAGGAACUUCCAGGCUCCCUGGUGAUGAUGUGAUGCCUUUCCUCUAGCUCUGCCUCAUCUUCCAGGAGCUGGGAGUGGGAUAUCCAGAGGAAUCUGCACUUUAGGAAUGGAUCAGACAGAACAGGGUUAAUUUUGGAACAUUCCCUCUCUUCCCCCUGUCACCAGGGGGGAUAUUCCUGAAUAUUUCAUCAUUCCUGGAAAUCCCUCUGAUCCACUGGAAAAAGAGGAAACACAACGCUGGAAAGUAUCCAAAGAAAAUUUAUUUCUUGUAAAUGAACUGUUCCUGUCCAGCCGUGGGAGGAAAUCAUGACUCUCUCCCAGUGAAUUGAUUUUCUAUCCUUGCAGCUGAGGGGUUUCCUUGGAUUCUUCCCCUUCUCCCUGCAGCCAACCAGGAAGGAAGAAAUAAGGUAGCGGCAGAAAAAUUCCUUUGGAUUGGUUCCAGCCAAACUCAGGGACAAACUGGAGAGGGAUUUCCAAUCCUAAAAUUAAAUGCAUAGCCAAAGAAAGCCUUAACACUUCCUUUAUGUCUCUUCCCUGCCCUUAAAUACCCUUCAUUUCCCAGGAAUGCCCAGGUGGAUCACGCUCUCAGUGCGCUGUGCCACAAUUCCAGAGGCUGUGCCAUGGGAAAUCAAAACUGAAAGUGGUUUUAGGAAUCUGCCCUUGGACACGGGCUGGAGCUGUGGGCUGUGCCUGCUGCAGGAAUCUCAGACAUCCUGGUUUUUUCCAUUCAUGGAGCUGCUUCCCUCCCUCUCCUUUCAAUACCAAAGGCGAUCCGGGAAUGCGUUCCCAUGGUGGGCAGGAAUUCCCUCAAGCCCUUGGAUCUGGAUGGAAGCACAAAGCCUGGAGUGGGCAUUGGGUCAGGCACCUCCAGUGCUCCCAUCCAGCCUCUCCUGCUUCCCGAGCAUCCCAAAUUCCUUGGGAGCAGGGAUGUGCCCAGUGCUGUGCCUGUCACGCAUCCCGGGAUCAGAGGCACAAACAGGGCAAGAACAGCAAGGAAAAACCGUGGAAUUUCAGCUGUUGGAUCCCUCCUGCUUCCCAAGCUUUUUGAGGAUGGGAAUGAACCCUUCACUUGCGUGGUGUCCGAUGAGAAUGUCCUUGGUGCUGUGGGGAUGGAUUCAUCCCAAUCCAGUCCUUCCCAGCUGAGACAUCCAGUUAAAGAAUCCACUGCUCUGUUAUUUUCUAUAUAAAAUAUAUUUAUUUAUACAUAAAAAUAAAUAGCUACCUUUUCCAGAGUGUAAGCAAACAAGUGGAUAAAACCUGGAUAAGAAAACAGGUGGAUAAAACCUGGAUAAGGAAACUCAAGUGGCUAAAAACUGCUGAUGGAUAAAGGAAAAACACACAAAGGAAAAUAUUCCCUGAAUUGUGUUAUUUGGUCCUUGGUGAGACUGCUCCAGCUUGGAUUCCCCGUGAGCCGCUGGGGAUCGGGAUCCAGAGCCGGGAUCGGUGCUGGAAGUGCUUCCAAAGGAUCCCUGAGCUGUGUGUGGGGUGGGAUGAUCCCAACACCUUUGGCUCUGGCCCAGUGGCUGGAAGAGAGCAGGAAAGGGAUGAGGAUGUGGGAAAUUGGGUCCCUCUCCGUCCAUUUUCUGGGAUUUGGGACAAAGCCGGCCCUGCCUGGUGCGCCUGUGCAGGGAAGAGGAGCACCAGUGGCAUUCCGAGGCUUUUCUUUGGAAAGCACAGAAGCUUUGGAAAACAUUCCUGGGGUUUGGCACUUACUUCCUCCUCCUCCAGCAGCAGACAGCCACGAUUCCAAUGGCCAGCAGCACCAGGAGUCCUGAGGGAUGGACACUCAGGCUUACCAACAGAAUAGGCCACGGACUGGAUGGAAACUGGAAAAGAGGAAAGAAAAGAAAUUUUGAGCCGGAGAGGAACCGAACGCGGCUGGCGCUCGCGUUUCUUCCCCCCCGUCCGGUUCCGGAGGCGUCGCGGAUUCCCGCUGAGCACUCACGGAUGCACUGGAGCGUGGGGUCGGUCCAGCGGGGCUCGGAGCCGUUCCAGAGGAUGCACUGGAUGAGGCUGGAGUGAGUGUCCCAGCCCAGACGUCCCAGCUGCCUCCAGCUGCUGAAUUCCAGCUGCAGUCACUGCCCCCGUCCUUCUCCACCCAUUUAAGCUGGAUAUGAAAAAUUCCAGCUGCUGUUGCUUGGAAUCUUCUCUUCCAAAAAAUGCCCAAGUUGUUCCAACAAGAUCCCAGCAGCGCCACACUCCAGGAUCACCAUCCAUGGAUGAGACCAAGCACAUCCCAAGAGGGAAAAGGGGAGGAAUCAGCUGGAGAUGCAGGAUUUAGGCUUUAAUUCCUCAGAAGUGAGUUGGAAUUUCCCAUGGAUGGAUCAUCCCAGGUGCUCAAAGACUCAUCCCAAAGGAGCUGCGGUGCCGGGAGCCGACCGUGCCAGGAAAACACCUCCAGCUGCCUGAUUUCCAUCUGGAUCCUGCUGGGAUAAAGUAUCCAGCUUGAAACGUGCCCGAUAUCCAUGGAUUUUGCAUUUCCAUGGAUUUUUUUACUUCACUUUUCCUGGUCUUUCUCCACCAGCGACCUCCAACGACGGCAGCUGGGGAGGAUGAGCUCAUCCCGACACGUUGGGAAGCAGAACAACAGCCAGGAUGUCAUCCCAUGUCCAAGUACAGCUUCCCAAGGGUGAACAACCACAGCUGGGAAAAUCCACACCCGGAAAAACUUGUCUGUUCUCCUUAAAAAAAAUUAUCAGGAAAAGGCCCAGAGACGUGGGAGUUUUUCUGCUCAAAAUUUAAAAGCCAUGAGCCAAAAAAAAAGAGGAGAAAAGAGGAAUUUCACAAGAAAAAUCGAUGAGAGAUGCCAAAAUCACGUACAUAAAUAAAACUUUCACAUUUUAACUCAAAAAUAUUUCCAGUUGAGCAGGAGAGGACAGGAUGCCCAGUGGGAACAUGGUGGGAUACAGCAGCACAUCCCAAAUUACCCAUCACAUGAACUAAAAGAAAUAAAUAUUAUUCAUUUUCUCUAACACCCCCUAAACCCACAGGUUUUGCCCCAAACAAGGAUCUGGUGGCAGCACUGCUGCCUGGAAUGUUGUCUGGAUGUCUGGGCUCAGUGGUCAGUGAGGAAUUUUGAGGUGUCUUAGGGGCUCUUCUGACUUUUAUUACCCAAGACUUUUUACAUUCCUGGCCAUUCCCGUCAUUCCGUUAUAAACAGGGAUAAAUUCAAUUCCCAGGACUUCGGGAGCACACGGGAGCUUGGAGAAGAGUGAGCACUGAAGCCGUGCCAAAGCCGUCGUGAUCCAGUGAUUCCAGGAUUUUGGAUUUUAGCAGCAGCAAGACAAUGAUGUGACCUUCCAGGCUCAGCAGCCACGGACAACUCCCGGUGCCAUGGAAAACCCACAGAGCACACCCAGGCCGAAAUCCCACAGUGAGGCAGCUGCCAUGGGAUCCUAAAAAUCAGCCCCAGCCUCCCUGGACACCGUGAGGAGGUGCUGGGGGAGUGCCAGGAGCGAGGGGAAUAAAAUCUCCCUCUGCCAUUCAAUGAAAGAGAAUUAACCUCAAUUAACCUCCCUGAAGCAGAAGAGAGGCAGCACCCGUGACCUGAGGCCCUGGAGAAGCUUCCAAACUGGAAUGGCAGCACUGGGAUUGUGGGGGUGGAGUUGGGAUGGAAGUGUGUGAUACCACAGGGUGGGAAACUCAGAAUUUCAGGGUUUAGAAUACAGGAAUAAAUAUAAAACAAAAUGGAGAUUUUAGGGCA